CUCACUCCACUCUCAACUCUCGCUCUCACUCUCAAUUUUUCUUCUAAUUUUCUCCUAGAAUUCUUCAUUCUUUGCAAAGAAUUGAAGUUGAAACUCAAGAAUUGUUGAAGAAUCAAGGGUAAUACUUUGUUCUACCAUUCGUUUCUAUCAAGAAAAGGUAAUAAUCGCGCUCAAAGCAUGAUAGCAAAGGGAAGAAAGUACUUGAGAUCUAAGCAGUCGAGGUUGAGCUGCGACCAGCGGUUGGCGGUGUUGAGCAAGUUAAUUAAAAUGUUGUGAUUGUCUUGAAACUCUUAUAUGGCUCAUUUCAUGCAUCGGUUUAAAGGGUAAAAAGUACGCCAUUUGAUCUGUUUAUUGCGAAAACAAGUGUUAAAAGUGCAGGAAUGCAGCUUGACCAAGGCAUCAAGGCUAAACUCAAGUCGGCACAAAGGACGCAAAAGGCCAAGAAAUCAGGGAGAUUGAUGAAGGGGAGUGAUCAAGCAGUUAGGCGGGGACCAUUGGCAAAGAGAAGAGGACACGUGCCGAUACAAAGGACACCAUCCUGCUAUGAAGGGACCACUGUCUUCUAGAAGGAGGAAUACGUGCCGACCAAAGAGACGCGCGGUCCUGGAAGAAAGCGAAUAUUCGCCGACAAGGUUGUUAUCCCUGCUGGAGGAUCGCUGCGGCGUGCCUAUAAAUAGAGGCUGCGACACCACAAUAGAGAAUCCUUUAUCCACUUUCUAGUUAGUUCUUAGUUUUAGCUUAGUUUAGUUAACUUUCAUUUCCAGUUCUUAGCUAGCUUAGUUUAGAAUUUCAGUUAGUGAAGCGUAAGUGAUUCAGUGCGAUAGAGGCUUCAGUUCUGUCCGGCGCAGUUUCCAGUUUCCGACCGAGAAUCGCUCGGCCUUUACUCGCUUUAUGUUCUUUCAAUUUCGUAGCUAGUUUUCGUUUUGGACGAGAUCUAUUCUGGAAUCAAAGUUCUUUUGUUUUCGGAUCUUCAA
This is a long non-coding RNA of Salvia splendens (bonfire salvia), 974 nucleotides long. RefSeq lists it as uncharacterized. The record is from RefSeq and is a predicted model, not a curated record. Lineage: Eukaryota; Viridiplantae; Streptophyta; Magnoliopsida; Lamiales; Lamiaceae. The transcript has 3 exons.